UAAGACAGUUGGGCGGUCGCUGUGAGUUGCAUUUUUGCUCAUAGAGGAAAGUCCGAACACCAUUGAGCAGGAUGGUCGAUAACGUCGACCUGUUGUGAGGCAGGGAAAGUGCCACAGAGAUUAUACCGCAUGGGCUUUUAGCCUGUGUAAGGGUGAAAAGGCGAGGUAAGAGCUCACCGCAUCUAUGGCGACAUAGAUGGCAUGGUAAACCCCAUCCGGUGCAAGGCAAAUAAGUGGCCACGGGCGCUCAACCCUUAUGGCUACGGGUAUGCUGCAUAGAGAAAUGAUCGUCGUCUCCUUUGGGAGAUACAGAAUUCGGCUUAUAGACUGUCUUAAACA
RNAcentral lists this RNase P RNA (339 nucleotides) under Deferribacteraceae bacterium. RNAcentral's name for it is "RNase P RNA component class A". It matches the Rfam family "Bacterial RNase P class A". From Rfam's summary of the family: Ribonuclease P (RNase P) is a ubiquitous endoribonuclease, found in archaea, bacteria and eukarya as well as chloroplasts and mitochondria. The record is from RNAcentral. Lineage: Bacteria; Pseudomonadati; Deferribacterota; Deferribacteres; Deferribacterales; Deferribacteraceae.